CGGGCCUGAAGCCCCAGAGCAGUGUCUGCAGCAGCUGCUGUCUCGACUCUGCGGUGGGCCCUGGCUGCAGACAAAGCCACUUCACAGGGUGGGCAGCGGCUGCCACCACCACGCAGCGGCUUCUCCCCAUCCUGCAGUCCUGUCCUCAAGUCAGGGAAGCAAACUGGAGAGGCAGGAGUGACGGCUCUGCUCCAGGGUCAUGCAGCACCGAGCGCUUCCAUCUCGCUUUCUGCGGUAGUGGUGUCUGUUUGGGAUGCUUGAUAAUUCUCUCAUUGUGGGAAAUUUCUCUCCGUCUGUGGAGCGCCCCCUUCCCCUUCCUUUGACCUCCUUAUCUCCAAAAAGCCUACCUAUGUCCUACCAUCUCUCCUUUAUUUUACUCUCAUUUAUUUAUAUUUUGGGUUUCUUUAAUAAGAGAAACCUUAUAAUAUUUAAUCUUCUGAGUCCGACUUAUUUCACUUAGCAUCACGGUCUACAAGUGACUUGAACUCAUCUUUCGAGCGUUUUGAUGAUCGCCCUUUCUUAGUGCCCCCUGGGCAAAGCACGAUGGCACCGCCCCCACCAGGCUCCCAAGCCGGGCACCUGAGGCCCCGCCAGCCGUGGUCGAAGCCAGUCUCAGCCACGCCUCCGGUGAUAGCAGACCUGGGGACAGCUUGACCUCACCCGCCAUGGAAGACCCUGCUGAGCACCCCGAAUCCCUGCCCGCAGAAACGGAAGCGACACUUCAAUUCUGGCAACCAGGGAGGAGGAACUCAGCCUUUAGGAAGAGACGACCGCCCUCUGGAGGGAAGGAGGGGAACUACAUGGGAGGCCUGGAGGAUUCCCCACCCCCACCCCAGCAAGGGGCAGAGCACGGCUGUGUGGAGAUCGAAUGAGAUGAACGCCCAGCUGGUCGCAAACGCUGCUGUGAUCGCAGGGACGCCGAUGCCGCCCGUGACCCUUACUUCUCCGUGAUAUGGGGACCCUGCCUAAGCAAGCUGUUUCUGGGAGUGACCACUCGGAUCCAUGUCGACAGACAAUCGCAAGACUCGUGGAGAAUCUGGGGACCGCAGAUAUACAAGCCCGAUUUGAGUGACAUCCUUGUGCCUGACCGGGCGCCCCUGGGGGACAGGAAAGGGACGCUGGACACCACCUGGGAGCCAGGAGCCCGGUUCCUGCGGGUAUCCCGGAGCCUGGAUGGCUCAGGGGCGCUUGGGGGCUGCUCCCGGAAACCUGCAGGUGUGAGGCCUCCGGGCCCGGCCC
Molecule: long non-coding RNA, 1239 nt
Organism: Fukomys damarensis (Damara mole-rat)
Lineage: Eukaryota; Metazoa; Chordata; Mammalia; Rodentia; Bathyergidae
Exons: 4
Source: RefSeq, a predicted model, not a curated record